CCUUUUUGGUCUAAAAUUUAACGCACGUUUUUUUCACACCUUUGCAUGUAUACGUAUGUAAAAACGGUGUGUCAAAUCACGUGGUUAUAUAAGUUCAUGCAACCGCGCGCGGUCUUUGUCCUUUGAUCCUAUAGUUAUAUUUGUGUGGAAACGACAUUGUUUGAAGGUUGUUUUUUAAACAUUUGCAAAUUCUAAAUUAAAUAAUAUGCAAAUUCUAUAUAUUUAAAUUAAAAGCUGAACAAAUAGGGGUUUGUUAAAAAGAGAUAUUAGAAUGUACCUUAAUAAAAUAAAUAUAUAUCGAC
Molecule: non-coding RNA, 302 nt
Organism: Paramuricea clavata
Lineage: Eukaryota; Metazoa; Cnidaria; Anthozoa; Malacalcyonacea; Plexauridae
Source: the annotation of a GenBank genome assembly